UGUAUACUAAUACGAGAAGCUUAUAUAUGGUCAUAAUAAGGAUGGCCGUCUCUACCCAACACCGUAAAUGUUGGUCUAUAAGUGAAAAAGUGUCUGAG
RNAcentral lists this non-coding RNA (98 nucleotides) under Enterococcus haemoperoxidus. RNAcentral describes it as "Guanine sequence". It matches the Rfam family "Purine riboswitch aptamer". From Rfam's summary of the family: Riboswitches are metabolite binding domains within certain messenger RNAs that serve as precision sensors for their corresponding targets. Allosteric rearrangement of mRNA structure is mediated by ligand binding, and this results in modulation of gene expression. The record is from RNAcentral. Lineage: Bacteria; Bacillati; Bacillota; Bacilli; Lactobacillales; Enterococcaceae.